GACGGAAUGGCCGAGAGGUUAAGGCGGUUGACUUAAGAAAAGCACGCUUACUUCAACUUCUCGAAAGAGAGCGUGGGUUCGAACCCCACUUUCGUCA
This is a non-coding RNA of Lasiosphaeria ovina, 97 nucleotides long. The record is from the annotation of a GenBank genome assembly. NCBI's taxonomy places the organism in Eukaryota, Fungi, Ascomycota, Sordariomycetes, Sordariales, Lasiosphaeriaceae.